This 211-nucleotide long non-coding RNA is filed under the name Elaeis guineensis (African oil palm). Its description in RNAcentral is "long non-coding RNA (EGUI_LNC005566)". Lineage: Eukaryota; Viridiplantae; Streptophyta; Magnoliopsida; Arecales; Arecaceae. The record is from RNAcentral.
UCCACUCUGAUCAUGAUGUUUGAGAAUGCAAAUCUUUGAUAGAUAGUGACCAUGAUGCAUUCAAUGACUAAAGAAUACAAAGCCAAUAUUGUGUCUGAACAAGUUAGAGACAUGUUGAAAGAUGAGCUGCCCUGGUCAAGGCUGGGAUCCACCAAGUCCCUUAUUAAACUAGACUACCUCUCAAAGAAAGCAAUUUUGUUUGCCCAAGUGC